RNAcentral lists this transfer RNA (66 nucleotides) under Hiatella sp. J HML-2015. Its description in RNAcentral is "tRNA-Trp". It matches the Rfam family "tRNA". From Rfam's summary of the family: Transfer RNA (tRNA) molecules are approximately 80 nucleotides in length. Their secondary structure includes four short double-helical elements and three loops (D, anti-codon, and T loops). RNAcentral also lists the same sequence under 1 other name. The record is from RNAcentral. Lineage: Eukaryota; Metazoa; Mollusca; Bivalvia; Adapedonta; Hiatellidae.
AGGCCUUUAAGUUAAAGAGACUAUUGAUCUUCAAAUUCAAAAGUGGGGUUAAUUCCUUAAGGCCUG